Molecule: long non-coding RNA, 545 nt
Filed under: Setaria viridis
Lineage: Eukaryota; Viridiplantae; Streptophyta; Magnoliopsida; Poales; Poaceae
Description: long non-coding RNA (SVIR_LNC000722)
Source: RNAcentral
GAGGUUCUAGCAGGAACUUUGAGCUUCAAAAUCUCUGUCUUAGAUUACUCAUUUCGGUUAGAGGUCAAUCUAUAAAAUGAAGUAUUUGGACUACUCUACAAGUUUGCUUAAGGAAUAUCUGGAUCUUUGGAUUUGAAAUUGACCGAUUUUGAGAUCUGAAUUUCGGGGGCAAGGAAGAAGAAGAAAGAAAAAACGGGCGGAAAAGAGGAUAGAGCCAUGCCACCGCCGGCACCUCUGCCCGCUGGCCAACGCGACAACCCCCUCCGCACCACGCACGCCCGUCAGUCACCGAGGUGGCCUCCAUGCACGCGGUGAACACUUGAAUAUAUACCGCUCCCACGCUUAUCGUUUCACUGGCCACCGUUCUUUUGUCGUGCAAACACAAGCUCGAGUGAGCACCACCACCGCCGGCCGAACCUGCAGCUUCGCUGCUCUCCUCUGCAAUUCCUUCCACCCGAAGCCCCGUUAGCUCCUCCUCCACACCCCACACCACUCCGUUUACCAGUUCCCCACCGGCAAGCCCCGAGUCGCCACAUCUCCUGUCC